GAGGGGAAGGACAUGGCCCAGCUUGUGGGAAGGAUCCUGCUGGCUGUGUCUGGAGCACUGUGCAGCCUCUUCUGUGGGAAGUUCCCAUGGGUCAGUGUGGCCUGAAUCUCUCCUGCUCCUUUGUUCUCUUUGGGCUUCACAGGAGAUGUCUGGUGAACUGCCUGUGGACUCUGUGCCCCGCACCGCUCCGAAAUUAUUCGCUACCUUGAAAGAAACAGGGCACAGCUCAGCCUGUCUCUGGCCCAGCCUCUUCCACAGACGUAUGCUGCAGCCAGCCCAGCUCAGAGAGCAGUGGGGACACAUGAUCUCAUCCUGUCAAACCAAGCAACAUGGGUCCCAUUGAGGCUUAGAUGGAAGAUCCCAGGUAUCUCGUGGAGAGGACGUGUCUGGGAUCCUGGAGACUGUUUCCUGCUGGAGGUUUGAGCGGGGAGAGAUCACUCAGAAGAUCACUCGGGUCUGCAGGGUUCAUGGGAGCAGCCACACUCCAGCAGGCCAUCUGG
Long non-coding RNA from Mauremys reevesii (Reeves's turtle), 500 nucleotides. RefSeq lists it as uncharacterized. Lineage: Eukaryota; Metazoa; Chordata; Testudines; Geoemydidae. The record is from RefSeq and is a predicted model, not a curated record. The transcript is spliced from 3 exons.